Molecule: long non-coding RNA, 200 nt
Filed under: Salvia miltiorrhiza (redroot sage)
Lineage: Eukaryota; Viridiplantae; Streptophyta; Magnoliopsida; Lamiales; Lamiaceae
Description: long non-coding RNA (SMIL_LNC012071)
Source: RNAcentral
AUUCAUGACUUUUAUGCGCAUAGUUAUUUAACUAUGCGUAAUAUUAAAGUUGACCACAAAGUCAUCAACAUAAAACAUUAAAAUAUAACAAAUUAUUUAACUAUGCGCAUCUCAAAUUUGCGAACAAUGCGCUAAAUUCAAAUUUGCGCAUCCAAAUUUGCAAACAAUGCGCUAAAUUCAAAUUUGCAAACUAUGCGCAC